Molecule: long non-coding RNA, 1984 nt
Organism: Daphnia pulicaria
Lineage: Eukaryota; Metazoa; Arthropoda; Branchiopoda; Diplostraca; Daphniidae
Exons: 2
Source: RefSeq, a predicted model, not a curated record
GGAGGAGGUGGUGGGAGAAGGGUUGGGUUGAGCCUCUUUUCUUUUCCAUGUUUUAUAUCCCCCUAUCUCUCUAUCCAUCCCUUCUGGUAUAUAUGCAUGCGUGCGUGUAUGGUCUACAGUGAGUAGUGCAGUGGUGGCGGUGGGUGAGAGAGGGUGGUGACGGUCGGCUCAAAAGGGAGGCAAAGGAGAGAGAGAGAAAAAGGCCUUCAAGUGGAUCAUCGCAGCCGCGGUCGUCAGUGAUCAGCCAGUUCCCGACCGAGACGGACUCUCUCCCUUUACUCGGCUACUCCCGCCGAUUUUUUUUUAUUUUUUUUUUAUUUAAUUUUUUUUUUGUUUAAAAACAAAACAAACAAAAAUACUUUGACGAUUUUUUGUCAAUUUUAUUUUUUUAAUGAUUUAUUUUGUUUAAUGUAAAUAUUUGUCGUGUGUCUAAGUGGGGUGGGAAGAUUAGAUUUUUGUCAAUUUGCAAUUCCAAAAGUCGUCAAAGAAAUUUGAAAUUUUAUUUAUUUUUAAAUUGUUGACUUGAGAUGGGGGGGUUCAACAUUUGGUCAGUCGAUAAUCGGCAUGUCAUUUAAGUUCAAGUGUCUUCAGUUUGUACAAAAAAACAAACAACUUUUUAUUUGGUUAUCUAAUAAGAGAAAAACCUCGCUCCCAAAAUUGUCCCUCCCCACAAAGCCAAGAAGAUAUUUCUCGCUCCGGGCGCAAGAGUCUAAACAUUUAUUUCGACUCGACUCUACCAAUUUGUGUUAAUUUAAUUAACCAGAUUGUUUACGCCCGCCAAUCUGUGGGAAACCGGAUGGAAUUGGGAACAAAACGAAAGUUGUGUCUUUAUUUGGAUGUUUGGUUUCAAAAUCUGCGCAACGAAGGCCAACAACUCGAUCCCGUCAACUUCGUGACAUUGGCUCCUAACUGCGACGCUCACGUCGUUAUUUCAAACAAAACAAAUUCAAUUCAAGUUUAUAUAUUUUUUAAAAAAGUGAAAUCAUUCCAGCCAUCCGGUUUUUUUCUCUCGUAUAAUGUGUGUCACUGGCUGCGUGUGUCGCCGUGUGUGUGUGUGUGUGGGGACAUAAAAUGUAUUGAUUGGGGCGGGUCCCUUUUUUGGUUGAGGCCACCCAACCCUCCUUUUUUAUCCCCAUUUCGCCCCCAAUGCCACCCAAUACGCGAAUCCCAUUUUUUCUCUUCCGUAUAGGUACAGCACACACACACACACACACAUUCUGGUGGGUGGUAAUACCACCCCAUUUUUAGACCUACCCCUCUUCCGGAAGAGGAGGCCUACGUGUAUUGAAAAUGGGGGGGGGGGAUUGAUCGGUGGGUGGAAGGAGGAGCCAUCUAUCACUAGCCAUUGGUCACCUUUUUACCAAAUAACGCCAGAAAAACGGGUGGGAGCAUAGGAUAUUUUUAAGGGCACAAUGUAUACAGUAGAGCAUGCGCCGGAUUCUAGGAGGCCUAGUAAAAAUCAAACAUUUUUUUCCCUAGUUUUGUAGGAGGAAUAAAUGAAUAACCAAGUACCCGAAACGAUAGGCGAGAACCUCCCAGUGAGGACGACAUCCAAAUCAAUUGAUUUUACGUUGAAAUUUCUUGAACGAAAUAGUCUCAAUCGAACGAGUGAAGAGGCUACAGUUUGACGUCCAAGUUGAAUGUUCCAAAAGCGUCGACAAGAAAAAGUGUCGUCAUAGUAACAGUUUCUUUUCUAUAUAUGUAGGCCCAGGUCGAUAAGCAUCGUGUGUGUGUGUGUGUGUCUUUUUUCUUUCUUUCUCAUUUCCAGUUUGAAAUCGUCGUCGAAUGGAUGUGACGUGUCGCUAGCGAGGUAUAGAGUUCCUACGUCUUGUCACUGAAUUCAAGUCGAUUGGUAGGAACUUCAUACCGUGCUCUCGACGCCAAUCCGAUAGUCUCCGAUUCAUCGUCUUUGAUUUGUCAAAUUAUUACACGGGUGAGACAUUUGCAUAUACAUUUUGUUUAUAAUUAAUCGUCGCUCAAAGAA